Molecule: ribosomal RNA, 253 nt
Filed under: uncultured bacterium
Lineage: Bacteria
Description: partial 16S ribosomal RNA
Rfam family: Bacterial small subunit ribosomal RNA
Source: RNAcentral
UACGGAGGGUGCGAGCGUUGUCCGGAAUCACUGGGCGUAAAGGGCGCGUAGGCGGCGCGACAAGUCAAUGGUGAAAGCCCGAGGCUCAACUUCGGGUCGGCCACUGAUACUGUUGGGCUUGAGCACUGUAGAGGCAGGUGGAAUUCCGGGUGUAGCGGUGGAAUGCGUAGAGAUCCGGAAGAACACCCGUGGCGAAGGCGGCCGGCUGGGCCGGAUCCGACGCUGAGGCGCGAAAGCGUGGGGAGCAAACAGG